This is an RNA transcript of Nycticebus coucang (slow loris), 1856 nucleotides long. It is a transcript of the gene named ras-related protein Ral-A-like, with no coding region annotated. The record is from RefSeq and is a predicted model, not a curated record. The transcript has a single exon. NCBI's taxonomy places the organism in Eukaryota, Metazoa, Chordata, Mammalia, Primates, Lorisidae.
CAGGUCGGGCUGCCGGGAUUGCACAUCCCGAGUUCCUCCCCGGGACGAGCUACCGCAGAAUGAGCCCGGGCUGGAACCCGGAGCGCCGCGUUCGCGCUGUGCGGAUUCUUCUUCUUAAUCCUUUGGUGAAAACUCUGUGACAAAAGAUGGCCACAAAUAAGCCCAAGGGUCAGAAUUCUUUGGCCUUGCACAAAGUCAUCAUGGUGGGCAGUGGUGGUGUGGGCAAGUCUGCUCUGACUCUGCAGUUCAUGUAUGAUGAGUUUGUGGAGGACUACGGGCCUACCAAAGCAGACAGCUAUCGGAGGAAGGUGGUCCUGGAUGGGGAGGAAGUUCAGAUCGAUAUCUUAGAUACAGUUGGGCAGGAGGACUAUGUGCAAUUAGAGACAACUACUUCCGAAGUGGGGAGGGCUUCCUCUGCGUCUUCUCCAUUACAGAAAUGGAGUCCUUUGCAGCCACAGCUGACUUCAGGGAGCAGAUUUUAAGAGUAAAAGAAGAUGAGAAUGUUCCAUUUCUACUGGUUGGUAACAAAUCAGAUUUAGAAGAUAAAAGGCAGGUUUCUGUAGAAGAGGCAAAAAACAGAGCUGACCAGUAGAAUGUUAACUAUGUGGAAACAUCUGCUAAAACGCGAGCUAAUGUUGACAAGAUAUUUUUUGAUUUAAUGAGGGAAAUUCGAGCCAGGAAAAUGGACGACAGCAAAGAAAAGAAUGGGAAAAAGAAGAGGAAAAGUUUAGCCAAGAGAAUCAGAGAAAGAUGCUGCAUUUUAUAAUCAAAGCCCAAACUCCUUUCUUAUCUUGACCAUACUAAUAAAUAUAAUUUAUAAGCAUUGCCAUUGAAGGCUCAAUUGACUGAAAUUACUUUAACAUUUUGGAAAUUGUUACGUAUCACUAAAAGCAUGAAUUGGAACUGCACCGAAAGCCAAAUUUACUUAAAAAAGAAAUCAAUGUGGCUUCACCAAGAAACAGAGUUCAGCUUAUUUCAUAAUUGCCUACAUGUAUCACGGUCCUGAAUGUAGCAUUGUGAGCUUGUGUGUCUCAGGCAGUCUUUCUUGAUCUAUUAAAUAAAGACAUGAGAUGGGGGUGGGGAAUGGGAGGAAAGGCUCCUUCCUCUGGUGUUAUUAUAAAACUUAAAUUAUAAAUCAUUUUAAAAUGUUUUGGUCUUCUACUGCCUUGAAAACUGACAGUUGUGAACAUGAUAGUUAAACUGUACCACUUUUUUAAACCACUGUUAUGCAAAAUAUAGAAGAAAAAGUUAUUGGCAUGUUGUUGCAUACAGUUAAACUGAGAGUAAUUCAUCUGUGAAUCUGCAUUAAUUACCUGGUGAUUAACUUAGAAAAGUGGUGUAAACUUGUACAUGGAAAUUUUUGAAUAUGCCUUAAUUUAGAAACUGAAAAAUGCCCAAUUACAUCAUUCUGGGUGUGUUCUCAGUGGUGCCAGGGGUCUGCUGCCCCUUGUGUACUGGCAAGAGAAUAUAUGCCUAGCAUGGAGUAUAACUUUUGUAUAGUAGGUUCAGUUGAGAAAUAACUGUUUGCUAGGAGUCUGUCCAAAUUAAAAUGUGUGCCAUACUCUUGUUCUUGAAACUAGGAUUCCAGAGCUCCUUGAUUGCUUCUAAUAAACUAUAAAGUCAUUUAAAAUGAAGGGCUGGCAUAUACUUGUAAGAUAAUUUUAGACUGCGAGGAUUCAGCCCCAGUUAUGUUUGAGUAAACAGUCUUUUUUCUCUAAGAUGCUGGUCCCUGGAAAUCCUUUUCUGCCAGUGAUAAGCAUGUAACUGUGUUAAGUUUUUAAUCUCCUGGGAGCAGGACAUAGGAAGAAAUGUCAGCAGAGCUAAUGCGUUGUGCACUAGUACACUUUGGGAAAACA